This 741-nucleotide ribosomal RNA is filed under the name uncultured euryarchaeote. Its description in RNAcentral is "bacterial SSU rRNA". It matches the Rfam family "Archaeal small subunit ribosomal RNA", at positions 95 to 842 of the family's 1478-position model. Lineage: Archaea; Methanobacteriati; Methanobacteriota. The record is from RNAcentral.
UACACGUCGAUAAUCUGCCCUUAGGUCGGUGAUAGCUACGCGAAAGUGUGGGUAAACACCGACAGACAAUAGGUACUGUAAGGUCCUUUUGUUCAAACUCGUGCCUAAGGAUGAGUCGGCGGCCGAUUAGGUAGUUGGCGGGGUAAAGGCCCACCAAGCCUUUGAUCGGUACGGGCCAUGAAAGUGGUAGCCCGGAGAGGGACACUGAGAUACUGGUCCCAGCCCUACGGGGUGCAGCAGGCGCGAAAACUCUCCAAUGUGCGAAAGCGUGAGAGGGGAAUUCCUAGUGCUCUGGCAUUAGCCAGGGCUUUUGCCAUGUGUAAAUAGCAUGGCGAAUAAGUGGUGGGCAAGACUGGUGCCAGCCGCCGCGGUAACACCAGCGCCACGAGUGGCGUUCACGAUUAUUGGGCCUAAAGCGUCCGUAGUCGGCUCUGUGCAUCUUCUGUGAAAUCGUUGCGCUCAACGUAACGGCAUGCGGAAGACACGGCAGAGCUUGAGACCGGGAGGCGUAGAGGGUACUCCGGGGGGACCGGUAAAAUGGUAUAAUCCCCGGAAGACCACCUGUGGCGAAGGCGCUCUACGAAUACGGAUCUGACGAUGAGGGACGAAAGCCAGGGGAGCAAACCGGAUUAGAUACCCGAGUAGUCCUGGCCGUAAACGCUGUCAGCUAGGUGUUGCAUAGACUUGUGUCUAUGCAGUAUCGGCGCGAAGGUAUUAAGCUGACCGCCUGGAAGUUCGUCG